CGAGACCGCGCACUUUUCCCGAACCGGUUCAGACCAGACGGUGCGACCAGGUUUGGGAUACCGACAAUGCUGUCUCCAUGCUGGAGUGGCAGGAGAGGAAACAAGACAAUGGCUACUGUAAAGUAGUGCCACCCAGAGGCCGUCGAGCUGAGCAGAGGGAGAAACACUUCAUGUGAUAAUGCAUCCUCUGAGCUGUGAGCUCAGCACACUGCAACGUCGGCGAGCCAACAGGAUCAAACCGGGCAGAGCCAGUCGUGCUGCCCAAUCAUCACAGAGUAGGGGGGAAGGCGCCGAAGUAGACACAUUCCUCUUCAUGAACGUCGCACAGUCAACAACACACAGACGUUUUCUGCUGCAACACCAAAAAAAUCUCCCUUCUUAUUUGUCAUGUCCACUGCAUACACACAAACCACACAUGUUUUACUGGGAGGCUGCUGUAACCCUUGUUACACUGUUGGGAUCUAUGUUUUUACAAGCACUGGAAAAUACUUGACACAGACAUGGCUCCCUGCAGGACUGUUAAAGUAAUGGUUUUCCUUUUGAGAUGUAGUGUGAAAAUGAAGUAGAAGUGGCAUCAUAAAGCCUUGACUUCAUUUAGGCCUGCUGUAUAAAAGCCCAGCAGUGUUUGCAUAGACAAUCAGCACAGAAGAUUGAACUAAUAGCUGUUCACUUUUUGUCAUCACGAGGUGAACAAACAUUUCAUUGUUGUUGGCUGUGAGGUUAUUUAGGCUCCAGGGUCGCAUUUAGCAAGGAUGAGACGUAUGAGGAGCUAUUUAAUGACUUGUAGACCAACAGUGUUUUUCAUGUGGCUGUCGUUUCCAGGGUUUAAGUACAUUUGAAUGAAUGCAAAACACAGAUAAGUGCACAUGGAAAUAGCUUUAGGCUUCAUUAGGUUGUUAGAACUAUGGCAACACAUUGUCUGAGGUUAGAGAGUCCUCUGGUGGUGGACUCACAGAUUACAACAAUUGAUCCAGAGGAAAUUCAAAGAUUACAGUUGCUCUUCUUUUUACUUCUUAAUCAUAAUGUUUGAAACUUUAAAAGAAAAUUAAACACACACACACACACACCACAUUGUUAUUAACAAGAUCAAAUGAUUAUUUAUCAUUUCAGAAGUGUUCAGCAUUGAUCCUGUGCUGUUGUUAUAGCAGUUUUUCAGCAUUGAAUUGUAAAAAUCUUUCAUUUCAAGAAUGUAAUUCAUGUAAAACUUUAAAUUCCAGCACUGCAUAUCGCCGCUUUGACAAUCCUCUAACUCUGUGAUAAAUAUUUCAGUAACCCUUGCAUUCACCUCCACCGUCCAGACGAGUGCAGCACUGAGUUGUUUCUAAACCGAACACUGGUAAAGUGGGGAUGGAUCCAUGUGAUCAACUCACAGACAGAAACACACGAUUUGUUCCAAGUCUGACCUAAUUUAGUGUUGUUAAAGGAUUGGGGAAGAAAUUCUAAGAAAACCGAUCAAAAAUGUCGGCCUGCUUAUAGUUGAUUUAACAGCUGAACGAUGGUGUUUGCAGCCAGCUUAAAGAUCCUUCCAGACAAAUACUCCUCUUGGAAUAAUAGGCUAAUUAAUUUGUGUCUGAUAUGAUCCCCCCCCCCAAAUAAAGAAGUUCAAUUACCUUGUUAAAAAAUAUUUAAAUUACAUUUACUCCUUCUCCCUCAUUAAAAAAAUG
Molecule: long non-coding RNA, 1664 nt
Organism: Morone saxatilis (striped sea-bass)
Lineage: Eukaryota; Metazoa; Chordata; Actinopteri; Moronidae
Exons: 3
Source: RefSeq, a predicted model, not a curated record